Molecule: transfer RNA, 81 nt
Filed under: Prevotellaceae bacterium
Lineage: Bacteria; Pseudomonadati; Bacteroidota; Bacteroidia; Bacteroidales; Prevotellaceae
Description: tRNA-Leu
Rfam family: tRNA
About the family: Transfer RNA (tRNA) molecules are approximately 80 nucleotides in length. Their secondary structure includes four short double-helical elements and three loops (D, anti-codon, and T loops). Further hydrogen bonds mediate the characteristic L-shaped molecular structure. tRNAs have two regions of fundamental functional importance: the anti-codon, which is responsible for specific mRNA codon recognition, and the 3' end, to which the tRNAs corresponding amino acid is attached (by aminoacyl-tRNA synthetases). tRNAs cope with the degeneracy of the genetic code in two manners: having more than one tRNA (with a specific anti-codon) for a particular amino acid; and 'wobble' base-pairing, i.e. permitting non-standard base-pairing at the 3rd anti-codon position.
Source: RNAcentral
GCGGCAGUGGCGUAAUGGUAGCCGCGCUGGUCUUAGGAACCAGUGCCGAAAGGUGUGGGGGUUCGAGUCCCCCCUGCCGUA